GUUGAUUGUGGCUCAGUGGUAGAGCACUUGCCUCACAUACGUGAGGCACUGAGUUUGAUUCUCAGCACCACA
This 72-nucleotide transfer RNA is filed under the name Marmota monax (woodchuck). RNAcentral describes it as "tRNA.Val". The stretch from base 7 to 67 matches the Rfam family "tRNA", at positions 6 to 65 of the family's 71-position model. Rfam says of the family: Transfer RNA (tRNA) molecules are approximately 80 nucleotides in length. Their secondary structure includes four short double-helical elements and three loops (D, anti-codon, and T loops). The record is from RNAcentral. Lineage: Eukaryota; Metazoa; Chordata; Mammalia; Rodentia; Sciuridae.